This 206-nucleotide ribosomal RNA is filed under the name uncultured Chlamydiales bacterium. RNAcentral's name for it is "partial 16S ribosomal RNA". It matches the Rfam family "Bacterial small subunit ribosomal RNA", at positions 305 to 504 of the family's 1533-position model. Lineage: Bacteria; Pseudomonadati; Chlamydiota; Chlamydiia; Chlamydiales. The record is from RNAcentral.
CGCCAACACUGGGAYUGAGAACUGCCCAGACUCCUACGGGAGGCUGCAGUCGAGAAUCAUUCGCAAUGGGCGAAAGCCUGACGAUGCGACGCCGUGUGAGCGAUGAAGGCCUUUGGGUCGUAAAGCUCUUUCGCUUGGGAACAAGAGAUGAUGACUAAUACUCAUCAAAUUUGAGGGUACCAGGUAAAGAAGCACCGGCUAACUCC